GUACACGCUGUGACUAGCAUAUCAAUAAGCGGAGGAAAAGAAACUAACAAGGAUUCCCCUAGUAACGGCGAGUGAAGCGGGAAGAGCUCAAAUUUGAAAUCUUAAAGGGUUUCCCUUUACGAAUUGUAGUUUAAAGAAGUGUUUUCUGUUGAGGUUUUGGUAAAAGUUCUUUGGAAUAGGACAUCAUAGAGGGUGAGAAUCCCGUAUUUGACCUUUACUUUCAACUUUGUGAUACACUUUCAAAGAGUCGGAUUGUUUGGGAAUGCAGUCCAAAAUGGGUGGUAAAUUUCAUCUAAAGCUAAAUAUUGGCGAGAGACCGAUAGCGAGCAAGUACCGUGAGGGAAAGAUGAAAAGAACUUUGAAAAGAGAGUUAAACAGUACGUGAAAUUGUCAAAAGGGAAGCGUUUGACACCAGUGUUGUUUUUCUGAAAAUCAAUUAAAGAACUGUUUAUGCUAAGCUGUUUAGACUUUAUCAGCUAAUCUGUUUAGUUUUGAGCUUUUCUUUAAUGCACUCUUCAGUUAACAAGUCAACAUCAAUUUCUUUUGCUGUAAAAAAGCUUGAGGAAGGUGGCUUGAGAUUCGUCUUAAGUGUUUAUAGCCUCUUGCCUAUGCAGUCGGAGAGAUUGAGGUCUGCAGCGUAGAUCCUUCGGGGCUAAAUGCAUUUGUGCUAAGUUAUAGCAUUUUAUAGACAACUUGUUGACUAUGAUUUGUCUUGUAGCUUACUCGCUUAUGUUAUUUUACCUACGCUUAGGAUGUUGAAGAUGUAGCACAUCA
This 774-nucleotide ribosomal RNA is filed under the name uncultured Neocallimastigales. RNAcentral's name for it is "partial large subunit ribosomal RNA". It matches the Rfam family "Eukaryotic large subunit ribosomal RNA", at positions 22 to 642 of the family's 3401-position model. The record is from RNAcentral. Lineage: Eukaryota; Fungi; Neocallimastigomycota; Neocallimastigomycetes; Neocallimastigales.